RNAcentral lists this transfer RNA (90 nucleotides) under Ailuropoda melanoleuca (giant panda). It matches the Rfam family "tRNA". From Rfam's summary of the family: Transfer RNA (tRNA) molecules are approximately 80 nucleotides in length. Their secondary structure includes four short double-helical elements and three loops (D, anti-codon, and T loops). The record is from Rfam by way of RNAcentral. Lineage: Eukaryota; Metazoa; Chordata; Mammalia; Carnivora; Ursidae.
GCCUGGGUAGCUCAAUUGGUUGAGCGUCUGACUUUUGAGUUUGGCUCGGGUCAUGCACUUGGGGCUGUGGGAUCGAGCCCACCAUGGGCU